AUGGCGGUGAUGAAGACGAAGCCGGCUGCAGAAGGCAAGCGAUGCUGCCCGGGAAUCAACACCAAGCUCGUCGCCUUCCUGCUCACAGUGCCGUCACUCAUCGUCUUCCUUGGUGGGCGCAAUGGCGAGCAGCCGGCGGUCGAGAUCGAGGCGGCCAUGCCCGGCAGAGAUCCAGAAGCUGUCUCGUUCCUGCAACGGAAGACAGCACACGAUGACAGGCUUCUCGGCGGCCUCCUAGCCGACGGCUUCGACCAAAAAUCCUGCCACAGCCGGCACCAAUCCGCCGUGUACCGUCGUAACGCCGGCAGGCAACCGUCGCAUCACCUCAUCUCCAAACUGCGGAGCCACGAAGCUCUACAAAGACGGUGCGGCCCGGGCACAGCCGCGUACACCAACGCUCUGGAGCAGCUCAAGUCCGGCAGGAGCGUCGCGUCACCGGAGUGCAGGUACCUGGUCUCCAUAUCGUACCGCGGCCUCGGCAACCGGAUCCUGGCCGCGGCGUCGGCGUUCCUGUACGCGCUGCUCACCGACCGCGUCCUCCUCGUUGACCCCAGCCACAUGACGGACGAGCUCUUCUGCGAGCCGUUCCCGAACACGACAUGGCUGCUGCCUCCGGGGUUCCCGCUCUUCAACUAUCAGAGCUUUUACCUCGACACGCCGGAGAGGUUCGGGAGAAUGCGGGAGGACGGAGUGCUGAGAACCGGCGUGACAAACGGCUCCGCCCCCGCCGAGCUGCCGGCGUUCGCGUACAUCCACCUCGACUACAACCAGACGGACCACGACAAGCUCUUCUUCUGCGACGACGACCAGAGGGUUCUCCGGGACAUCCAGUGGCUGGUGAUGAGGACGGACAGCUACAUCGUGCCGGGCCUGUUCCUGGUGAAGGCGUUCGAGGAGGAGCUCGACGGUCUGUUCCCGGAGCGCGACGCCGUGUUCCACCACCUCGGCCGGUACCUGUUCCACCCGACCAACCAGGUGUGGGGCCUCAUCGCGCGGUACUACCGCGCGCACCUCGCGUCGGCGCGGCGCGUGGUGGGCAUCCAGGUGCGCGUCUUCCCCUGGGAGGCGGAGUCGCCGGAGAUCCUGGAGCAGAUCAAGACGUGCACGCAGAACGAGAGGCUGCUCCCGGCGGUGCUGGACGAGGUGGAGGACGACGAGCCGGCGGUGGCCGGUGCCCAGCAACCGACGGCCGUCCUGGUCACCUCCCUCAAGGCCUGGUACAGCGACAAGAUGAAGGAGAUGUACUGGGAGCGCGCGGCGGCGGACGGCAGGGUGGUGGUGGUGGAGCAGCCGAGCCACGAGGAGACCCAGCGCUACAACGUGAGGUCGCACGAGCACAAGGCCUGGGCGGAGGUGUACCUGCUGAGCGUGGCGGACAUGCUGGUGACCACCGGGCAGUCGACGUUCGGGUACGUGGCGCAGGGGCUCGGCGGGCUAAAGCCCUGGGUGCUGCACCAUGUCGCCAACGGCACGGUGGGGUGGCCGUGCAGCAGGGACGUGUCCAUGGAGCCGUGCUUCCACGUCCCGCCGCAGUACGACUGCAAGCGACGGGAAGACGCCGGCCUGGUCGUGCCGCAUGUGCGCCACUGCGGAGACCUGCCCGCGGGACUGAAGCUAGUCGAUCGAAGAGAAUGGUAG
This 1638-nucleotide ribosomal RNA is filed under the name Triticum aestivum (bread wheat). RNAcentral's name for it is "partial small subunit ribosomal RNA". The record is from RNAcentral. Lineage: Eukaryota; Viridiplantae; Streptophyta; Magnoliopsida; Poales; Poaceae.